This 253-nucleotide ribosomal RNA is filed under the name uncultured bacterium. RNAcentral's name for it is "partial 16S ribosomal RNA". It matches the Rfam family "Bacterial small subunit ribosomal RNA", at positions 524 to 776 of the family's 1533-position model. The record is from RNAcentral.
UACGUAGGGGGCGAGCGUUGUCCGGAUUUAUUGGGCGUAAAGAGCUCGUAGGCGGUUUGUCGCGUCGAAUGUGAAAACCCGGGGCUCAACCCCGGGCCUGCAUUCGAUACGGGCAGACUAGAGUUCGGUAGGGGAGUCUGGAAUUCCUGGUGUAGCGGUGAAAUGCGCAGAUAUCAGGAAGAACACCCGUGGCUAAGGCGGUUCUCUAGUACGGUACUGACGCUGAGACGCGAAAGCGUGGGGAGCGAACAGG